RNAcentral lists this ribosomal RNA (253 nucleotides) under uncultured prokaryote. RNAcentral describes it as "partial 16S ribosomal RNA". It matches the Rfam family "Bacterial small subunit ribosomal RNA", at positions 524 to 776 of the family's 1533-position model. The record is from RNAcentral.
CACGGGGGGAGCAAGCGUUGUUCGGAAUCACUGGGCGUAAAGGGCGUGUAGGCGGUCAAGUAAGUGGAAUGUGAAAUGCCCCGGCUCACCCGGGGACCUGCAUCCCAAACUGCUUGGCUUGAGUAUGGGAGAGGAUGAGGGAAUUCCUGGUGUAGCGGUGAAAUGCGUAGAUAUCAGGAGGAACACCGGUGGCGAAGGCGGCAUCCUGGACCAAUUCUGACGCUGAGGAGCGAAAGCCAGGGGAGCAAACGGG